AGAGUUUGAGUCCUGGCGUCAGGAUGAACGCUGCGGCGUGCUUAACACAUGCAAGUCGACGGAAAGGCCCUGCUUGCAGGGUACUCGAGUGGCGAACGGGUGAGUACACGUGGGUGAUCUGCCCUGUACUUUGGGAUAAGCCUGGGAAACUGGGUCUAAUACCGGAUAUGACCACUUCUUGGAUGGGGUGGUGGAAAGCUUUUGCGGUAUGGGAUGAGCUCGCGGCCUAUCAGCUUGUUGGUGGGGUAAUGGCCUACCAAGGCGUCGACGGGUAGCCGGCCUGAGAGGGUGUACGGCCACAUUGGGACUCCCGAGAUACGGCCCAGACUCCUACGGGAGGCAGCAGUGGGGAAUAUUGCACAAUGGGCGCAAGCCUGAUGCAGCGACGCCGCGUGGGGGAUGACGGCCUUCGGGUUGUAAACUCCGUUCGCAACCGACGAAGCUUUUGUGACGGUAGGUUGAGAAGAAGCACCGGCUAACUACGUG
Molecule: ribosomal RNA, 486 nt
Filed under: uncultured Corynebacterium sp.
Lineage: Bacteria; Bacillati; Actinomycetota; Actinomycetes; Mycobacteriales; Corynebacteriaceae
Description: bacterial SSU rRNA
Rfam family: Bacterial small subunit ribosomal RNA
Source: RNAcentral